UUUUUAUAGAAUUUAAUUUUGGUUCCGAUUGAACGUUUUUCAGUAGUUUAAGACAUGCAAAUCUUUUUUUCUCGAAAAAUAUUAGAGAAAAAGGUGUAAAGGUGAGUAUAAUAAAUAAGAUACCCUAAAGUCUUCAUAAAUCGGGGAUAUUUCUUAAAAUAGUUAUUAAUAAAUUAUAUAAAAAUUAAAUUUUAAUUUUUAUUAGGGUAUUAAUAAUAAGAAAAGUAAAAAAUAAGCUAUUUUUAUUAAGAAAGGAAAUUUUCCGCUUUAGGAUUCUAUUUAUUUGGAUUAGGUUGUUGGUAGGGUAAAGGCCUACCAAGCCGACAAUCUGAAGCUAAGCUUGAAAGAGCCGAUGGCCACAUUGGGGAUGAAAUCUCCCAAGUAGUAUUAACUACCAGCAGUCUAGAGUAUUAGUCAAUGCUCGAAAGAGUGAACUAGCUAACUGAAAUCUUUUUUAAGAUAAGGUAAAGGAAAAUAAUGAUACUACUUUACUAUUAGUGUCGUCCAAUACUGGUGCCAGAAGACUCGGUAACGCCAGAGACGCAAACGUUAGUCAUCUUAAACAGGCGUAAAGGGUUUGUAGGCUGCUUCCAAUAUUUUGACAAUUUGAAAUAGCUCAUGUUACUGAUGAUGUAAAGUGCAUAUGAAUUUAAAAAUAAAGUGAAGAUAGAAUCAAAAAGAGGUUAAUAUAAUACUUAGAGUAGUGUUUCAAUCCGUAAAUACUAAGUAGAAUACUAGGAGCGAAGGCUGUUAACCAUUAAUGAUUGACGCUGAGGAACGAAGGUUAGGAUAGGAAAUAGGAUUAGAGACCCAUGAACCCCUCACUGUAAACGAUGAAUGGUAGUUAUCAGAAUAAUAACUGGUUUCGAGGUUAACGCGUUGACCAUUCCGCCUUGUGAGUACGAUUGCAAAAUUGAAAACAAAAAAAUUAGUCGGUCUCGAAGCAAACGAAGUGAAGCAUGUUGUUUAAUACGAUAAUCCGCGUAAAAUCUUACCAGUCCUUGUAUAAAAAUUAUAGUUUUUAAAUUAUUAGAAAUUAUAAGGAGUAUUUUUUGCUUCAAUACAGGUGUUGCAUGGCUGUCGUCAGUCCGUAUCGUAAGAAGUUAGGUUAACUCCACAAACGGACGAAAUCCCUGUUGUUAAUUUAAACUUAACAAAUAAAUGGUUCUGAUAGAGGGCCAUUUUGGGGCGAAGACAAGUCGUUAUGGUCCUCAUGGACUGGGCUAUAGACGUGCCACAACAACUUUUACAAAGUGAUGCAAUACCCUCUCGUAAUUAAUCUUAAAGAAAUUAGGUUAUAUUACUAACUGCUUUAAAAAUAAUAAGUAUUAAAAUCUAAUAGAUUAAUAGUACUAACUAUUGCAAAAUAGUCAUUACUGGGAAAUAAGGUGGAGCUAAUCAUUAAAGAAAGUUAAUUUACUAAAAUAUGCCUGAUUGUCACCUGAAAUUCGGUGGCAUGAAGCAGGAAUUUCGAGUAAUCGUUGAUCAUUACGCAACGGUGAAGUUUCAAAUUCGUGAUGAACUAACUGUCUGUCGCUGGGGAGGAGCUUAUAUUGAUGGAAAUUGCGGUAUGACUAAUGUUUUACAUAGGUUAUAGUUUUAAGCUAAAUUAUAGUCAAUUAUAUAUCCUUUUUAGAAUUAAUCCAAUUAAUCUAAUCUCAAGGUAAAACACCUAUGUUAAGGUUACCGGCUUCAGUCAAGUCAGUUGAGUAACAUCUCAAAAGUCAUAGCAAGGUAGCUGUACUGGAAGGUGUAGCUGGAAAAUAAAACAA
RNAcentral lists this ribosomal RNA (1772 nucleotides) under Phanerochaete sordida. Its description in RNAcentral is "Bacterial small subunit ribosomal RNA". It matches the Rfam family "Bacterial small subunit ribosomal RNA". The record is from Rfam by way of RNAcentral. Lineage: Eukaryota; Fungi; Basidiomycota; Agaricomycetes; Polyporales; Phanerochaetaceae.